Molecule: ribosomal RNA, 697 nt
Filed under: uncultured Rhizopogon
Lineage: Eukaryota; Fungi; Basidiomycota; Agaricomycetes; Boletales; Rhizopogonaceae
Description: eukaryotic LSU rRNA
Rfam family: 5.8S ribosomal RNA (bases 239-393)
Source: RNAcentral
UGCGGAGGAUCAUUAACGAAUAUAAUUCGAGGGGUUGUCGCUGGCCUCGCUCGCGCGAGGCAUGUGCACGCUUCUCGUUUUUCUCUCAACUCACCUGUGCACCUAAUGUAGGAUGCCUCUCCUCCGGGAGGGGGGACCUAUGUCUUCGUAACAUCUUCGUGUAGAAAGUCUUUGAAUGUUUACUAUCAUCGAGUCGCGACUUCUAGGAGACGCGGUUCUUUGAGAUAAAAGUUAUUACAACUUUCAGCAACGGAUCUCUUGGCUCUCGCAUCGAUGAAGAACGCAGCGAAAAGCGAUAUGUAAUGUGAAUUGCAGAUCUACAGUGAAUCAUCGAAUCUUUGAACGCACCUUGCGCUCCUCGGUGUUCCGAGGAGCAUGCCUGUUUGAGUGUCAGUAAAUUCUCAACCCCUCUCGAUUAGCUUCGAGAGGGCGCUUGGAUAGUGGAGGUUGCCGGAGACUUGGAUUCGUCCGAGACUCGGGCUCUUCUGAAAUGCAUCGGCUUGCGGUCGACUUUCGACUAUGUGCGACAAGGCUUUCGGCGUGAUAAUGAUCGCCGUUCGCUGAAGCGCAUGACUGAACGUCCCGUGCCUCUAAUACGUCGACCGCUUAUUAUCUCUCCGGAGAGAACAGGGUCUUCCUUAUUGACUUUUGACCUCAAAUCAGGUAGGACUACCCGCUGAACUUAAGCAUAUCAAUA